GAUGAACGCUGGCGGCGUGCCUAAUACAUGCCAGUCGAGCGAACGGACGAGAAGCUUGCUUCUCUGAUGUUAGCGGCGGACGGGUGAGUAACACGUGGAUAACCUACCUAUAAGACUGGGAUAACUUCGGGAAACCGGAGCUAAUACCAGAUAAUAUUUUGAACCGCAUGGUUCAAAAGUGAAAGACGGUCUUGCUGUCACUUAUAGAUGGAUCCGCGCUGCAUUAGCUAGUUGGUAAGGUAACGGCUUACCAAGGCAACGAUGCAUAGCCGACCUGGGAGGGUGAUCGGCCACACUGGAACUGAGACACGGUCCAGACUCCUACGGGAGGCAGCAGUAGGGAAUCUUCCGCAAUGGGCGAAAGCCUGACGGAGCAACGCCGCGUGAGUGAUGAAGGUCUUCGGAUCGUAAAACUCUGUUAUUAGGGAAGAACAUAUGUGUAAGUAACUGUGCACAUCUUGACGGUACCUAAUCAGAAAGCCACGGCUAACUACGUG
This 497-nucleotide ribosomal RNA is filed under the name uncultured bacterium. Its description in RNAcentral is "partial 16S ribosomal RNA". It matches the Rfam family "Bacterial small subunit ribosomal RNA", at positions 28 to 507 of the family's 1533-position model. The record is from RNAcentral.